GACGAACGCUGGCGGCGUGCUUAACACAUGCAAGUCGAACGCUGAAGCUCAGCUUUUGUUGGGUGGAUGAGUGGCGAACGGGUGAGUAACACGUGAGUAACCUGCCCCCUUCUUUGGGAUAACGCCCGGAAACGGGUGCUAAUACUGGAUAUUCACUGGUCUUCGCAUGGGGGUUGGUGGAAAGGGUUUUUCUGGUGGGGGAUGGGCUCGCGGCCUAUCAGCUUGUUGGUGGGGUGAUGGCCUACCAAGGCUUUGACGGGUAGCCGGCCUGAGAGGGUGAACGGGCACAUAGGGACUGAGAUACGGCCCAGACUACUACGGGAGGCAGCAGUGGGGAAUAUUGCACAAUGGGCGCAAGACUGAUGCAGCGACGCCGCGUGAGGGAUGGAGGCCUUCGGGUUGUGAACCUCUUUCGCCCAUGGUCAAGCCGCAACAAUGGUUGUGGUGAGGGUAGUGGGUAAAGAAGCGCCGGCUAACUACGUG
Molecule: ribosomal RNA, 483 nt
Filed under: uncultured bacterium
Lineage: Bacteria
Description: partial 16S ribosomal RNA
Rfam family: Bacterial small subunit ribosomal RNA
Source: RNAcentral